This 471-nucleotide ribosomal RNA is filed under the name uncultured bacterium. Its description in RNAcentral is "SSU rRNA". It matches the Rfam family "Bacterial small subunit ribosomal RNA", at positions 26 to 518 of the family's 1533-position model. The record is from RNAcentral.
AGGACGAACGCUGGCGGCGUGCUUAACACAUGCAAGUCGAGCGGAAAGGCCCUUCGGGGUACUCGAGCGGCGAACGGGUGAGUAACACGUGAGUAAUCUGCCCCUAGCUCUGGGAUAGCUCCGGGAAACCGGGAUUAAUACCGGAUACGACCACCUUAGACAUCUUUUGUGGUGGAAAGAAUUUCGGCUAGGGAUGAGCUCGCGGCCUAUCAGCUUGUUGGUGGGUAACGCCUACCAAGGCGACGACGGGUAGCCGGCCUGAGAGGGCGACCGGCCACACUGGGACUGAGACACGGCCCAGACUCCUACGGGAGGCAGCAGUGGGGAUAUUGCGCAAUGGGCGAAAGCCUGACGCAGCGACGCCGCGUGGGGGAUGAAGGCCUUCGGGUUGUAAACCCCUUUCAGCAGGGACGAAGCGAAAGUGACGGUACCUGCAGAAGAAGCGCCGGCUAACUUCGCGCCAGCAGCCGC